AGAACUGGGGCUGUACUGAUUUCUUGCUCUAUUGCUAUUCCAGGUGGUGUUGGUCCACAAGUGUGAAACCUGUCUUACUGCCUGUAUUAGAAUUGGAAAGAUGCUCUGGAAGCCAAAACUACUAUGCUGUCAGCAGUGGGUUCAACCCUGGGAUAGUCGGAAGGCUUGCUCCAUGCUCUGAGGCUUCCUCCUGCCUUAACCUCCAUGCUGCGCUUGAAUGAAGAUGAAUCCUUCUGAGGAUGCUUCCUACAAAGUGCUGAGCCCAACAGGAGCUGCACGUCAUCCAGAUUGAGUCAUGAGUAGACAACGGCCCAGCAGCAUCCCCGGUGUGGGAGCAUCCAGUCUCCUUUUGUGAUUAACCGACUGUAAGCUUAGCUGUGAUCAGCAGAGCUCCAGUCCAGGGGGUGGCUGGCCCCCAAAUCCAGCUCCUCAGUUCCUUGGAAGUUCCUCAUUGGGCUCCACCUGUCAGGAGAUGUGGCUCACUGGACCAUGAUGAAGAGCCUGGGCAGAGAGUCAGCAGUGGCCAAGGAGUCCCAUGCCACCUGGGGCACAGGGGACAGAAUGUGUGAGGCUGCUUUUGGUUCCUCCAGGAAGCAAUACUCCGCCCAGGCGGGAUCGAGUAGGUGGCUCCUGUGUGUGUGUUCAUUGCAGUAAUGGGAGGACUGUAUCCCACCAUUCUACUAUCCAUAAGGAGGAUCAAGAAGACAUUCACUCUCUCCAAGGUGAUCCUUAGGGAAGUGAAGCAAGCAAGGUGUGACAUCUGGAAUGGGACCCACCACUGCUGCCAUGAUCCUGCCAGAACAGAGCAGAAUACACCUUCCUACCUUUGGACAGCACGCCCCCACCCAUGCCACCCUAGAGAUCAUCAGCCUCCUGUCAGUGCCUUCAGGUUGCUGGCUCAUAUUGAACUUGUAGUCAAUGCAAACUCCGCACCUUCUUAUAUAUUAUUGUGACACUGGACCUUCCUACCUGCGUCCUUUCGAAUUGGCCCUUUGAACUCAAAGGUAAGAUUCUCUUUCUAUCAAGGAUGGAAAAUAUGUGCAAUGCCCACGCCCAUGGGCCUUGCUCACAUCCAUGGA
Molecule: long non-coding RNA, 1079 nt
Organism: Camelus dromedarius (Arabian camel)
Lineage: Eukaryota; Metazoa; Chordata; Mammalia; Artiodactyla; Camelidae
Exons: 5
Source: RefSeq, a predicted model, not a curated record